RNAcentral lists this long non-coding RNA (846 nucleotides) under Phasianus colchicus (ring-necked pheasant). RNAcentral describes it as "lncRNA (ENSPCLG00000007724.1)". Lineage: Eukaryota; Metazoa; Chordata; Aves; Galliformes; Phasianidae. The record is from RNAcentral.
CCUUGCCCUCCUGGCCCAGUGCCACGGUCCCGUGGGUGCCAGGCCCCGGCAGCACAUCCACAUAGUGAUGGGUGGCAGCGGGCAAAGCAAAUGUGACUGAUCCUUGUCCCCAGGGUGACCGAGCGCAGGCGUACUGUGAGCUGGAGAGCGCCCUGAGGGAAGCCGACAGCCGCCCGCCCUGCGGAGUGGUGAACCGGCUGCUGGCAGAGGUGUCCCAGGACCUGACAGCAGCCCAGGGCGUGACAGCCAAUGUGAGGACAGCUGCCAGCAAUGUCCUGGUGGCUCUGGCCCAGAUGCACUUCACCUUGGUGAUGGCUGAGCUCCAGAGCCUCCUGAAGGCCACAGGGGAGAUGUCCAAGGAGUUUGUGCUCAUCACCCUGAGCAAACUCUUCAGCACAUAUGCUCCACAGUGCAUCUCCUUCACGUGGCUGACGCUGGCCGGCCUGCGCAGUGUGGUGGGCCAGGUGAAGAGCGGCCGGAUCCUGCGCAUCGCUUGUGCUGUUGUGAAACAGUGGCUGGAUGGAGUCAAGACUACCUUGUCCUCUGGAACCCAAUGCCCCUGGUCUGCCAUGGAGAAAGAGCAAAUCUAUGAGAACAUUCACGAGCUGCUCUUCUCUGUGGUGCAGAACUGGCAGGACUGCCAGGAGGAGGAGGACAAACAGGCUGUCCUUGGGGCUGUGGCUGCCAUGUUGGAUGUUCUCCUGCAAGAGGAGCUGCAUCAAGAGCAAGUCUGGGAGCAGCUCCUCUGGCUCAUUUACCCAUGUCAGGAGAUCCAAGACACCUGCAGGGUGGCCAAGGUGAGAUAUUGUGCAGGGCUCAGGGUGGACAAGGGGCCCGUGCAAGUGC